This 598-nucleotide ribosomal RNA is filed under the name Hepatozoon canis. RNAcentral's name for it is "SSU rRNA". It matches the Rfam family "Eukaryotic small subunit ribosomal RNA", at positions 225 to 812 of the family's 1831-position model. The record is from RNAcentral. Lineage: Eukaryota; Apicomplexa; Hepatozoidae.
UGCAUGCUUUUACAGUAUGAAAAUUGGUGAUUUAUAAUAACUUAGCAAAUCGCAAAGUGAAAACAGGCGAUAAAUCAUUCAAGUUUCUGACCUAUCAGCUUUCGACGGUAUGGUAUUGGCUUACCGUGGCAGUGACGGUUAACGGGGGAUUAGGGUUCGAUUCCGGAGAGGGAGCCUGAGAAACGGCUACCACAUCUAAGGAAGGCAGCAGGCGCGCAAAUUACCCAAUUCUAACAGUUUGAGAGAGGUAGUAACAAGAAAUAACAAUACAAGGCAGUUAAAAUGCUUUGUAAUUGGAAUGAUAGAAAUUUAAACCCUUUUUAAAGUAUCAAUUGGAGGGCAAGUCUGGUGCCAGCAGCCGCGGUAAUUCCAGCUCCAAUAGCGUAUAUUAAAAUUGUUGCAGUUAAAAAGCUCGUAGUUGAAGUUCUGCUAAAAGUAACCGGUCUGCUUUGAAUAAAAGUGGUAUCUUGGUAUGUAUUUAGCAAUGAUGUCCUUUGAAGUGUUUUUUACUUUAUUGUAAUAAAGCAUAUUCAGGACUUUUACUUUGAGAAAAUUAGAGUGUUUCUAGCAGGCCAACGCUUUGAAUACUGCAGCAUGG